CCGUGAUAAGCGGGAGGAAGGUGUGGAGGACGUCAAGUCCUCAUGGCCCUUACGGGUUGGGCUACACACGUGCUACAAUGGUAGUGACAAUGGGUUAAUCCCAAAAAGCUAUCUCAGUUCGGAUUGGGGUCUGCAACUCGACCCCAUGAAGUCGGAAUCGCUAGUAAUCGCGUAACAGCAUGACGCGGUGAAUACGUUCCCGGGCCUUGUACACACCGCCCGUCACACCAUGGAAGUUGGCCACGCCCGAAGCCGUUAUUCCAACCCUUGUGGAGGAGGAUGUCGAAGGUGGGGCUGAUG
This 300-nucleotide ribosomal RNA is filed under the name uncultured marine bacterium. Its description in RNAcentral is "bacterial SSU rRNA". It matches the Rfam family "Bacterial small subunit ribosomal RNA", at positions 1153 to 1473 of the family's 1533-position model. The record is from RNAcentral.